UGUGAAUUUCCCUUACCUGACGUUGGGUCUCCUGCUGUCGGAUUGAAUUUCACACCAACCUAAAGGCUGCCCACAGAAGUCAGUGAUACUGCAAGGGGUGGGCAACAUAUACCAGCCAAGGUGCUGUUUUAUUAAAAUUGCUGAGCCGUCUUGUGGUUCGUCGCUGGAAAUUAUCAGCUAGUAGUGACAGGUGCGAGCAGACACCAAGUCAGGGUUACAUAGGGAAUGUCGCAAGUACGAGUAAGCCAUCAAGUUACACCAUUAUGGCAAACGGCGAUGGCCUGAACCCCCCACUGAGCCCUUAAUGUGACCCACCACGCCGCCGCCAUCACCGUCACCACAGCCACUACCAUCUACCAGGGGAGGGGGCCUUUGCCACCGCUCCCAUCACACCAUCACGCUACCCGCCUCGCUGUCUUGCUGUUACAAGCAUC
This is a long non-coding RNA of Portunus trituberculatus (swimming crab), 434 nucleotides long. RefSeq lists it as uncharacterized. Lineage: Eukaryota; Metazoa; Arthropoda; Malacostraca; Decapoda; Portunidae. The record is from RefSeq and is a predicted model, not a curated record. The transcript is spliced from 3 exons.